AAUAUUGGACAAUGGUGGGAACCCUGAUCCAGCCAUGCCGCGUGUGUGAAGAAGGCCNNNUGGUUNUAAAGCACUUUAAGCGANGAGNAGGCUACUUAGAUUAAUACUCUAGGAUAGUGGACGUUACUCACAGAAUAAGCACUGGCUAACUCUGGGCCAUCAGCCGCGGUAAUACAGAGGGUGCAAGCGUUAAUCGGAUUUACUGGGCGUAAAGCGCGCGUAGGUGGCCGAUUAAGUCAAAUGUGAAAUCCCCGAGCUUAACUUGGGAAUUGCAUUCGAUACUGGUUGGCUAGAGUAUGGGAGAGGAUGGUAGAAUUCCAGGUGUAGCGGUGAAAUGCGUAGAGAUCUGGAGGAAUACCGAUGGCGAAGGCAGCCAUCUGGCCUAAUACUGACACUGAGGUGCGAAAGCGUGGGGAGCAAACAG
This 424-nucleotide ribosomal RNA is filed under the name uncultured bacterium. Its description in RNAcentral is "partial 16S ribosomal RNA". It matches the Rfam family "Bacterial small subunit ribosomal RNA", at positions 360 to 775 of the family's 1533-position model. The record is from RNAcentral.